GCUGGGCACGGUGGUGCAUGCCUGUAAUCCCAGCAACCAGGAGGCUGCAGAGGCUGAGGUAAGAGGAUUGCAAGUUUUAGGCCAGCCUAAGCAA
RNAcentral lists this small RNA (94 nucleotides) under Marmota monax (woodchuck). The record is from RNAcentral. Lineage: Eukaryota; Metazoa; Chordata; Mammalia; Rodentia; Sciuridae.